AGGUAAGAUGGCUGAUAAAAGCAUUAGACUGUAAAUCUAAAUAUAAAGGUCAGACUCCUUUUCUUAUCA
Molecule: transfer RNA, 69 nt
Filed under: Hoplomys gymnurus (armored rat)
Lineage: Eukaryota; Metazoa; Chordata; Mammalia; Rodentia; Echimyidae
Description: tRNA-Tyr
Rfam family: tRNA
About the family: Transfer RNA (tRNA) molecules are approximately 80 nucleotides in length. Their secondary structure includes four short double-helical elements and three loops (D, anti-codon, and T loops).
Source: RNAcentral